UACGAAGGGGGCUAGCGUUGCUCGGAAUCACUGGGCGUAAAGGGUGCGUAGGCGGGUCUUUAAGUCAGGGGUGAAAUCCUGGAGCUCAACUCCAGAACUGCCUUUGAUACUGAAGAUCUUGAGUUCGGGAGAGGUGAGUGGAACUGCGAGUGUAGAGGUGAAAUUCGUAGAUAUUCGCAGGAACACCAGUGGCGAAGGCGGCUCACUGGACCACAACUGACGCUGAGGUGCGAAAGCGUGGGGAGCAAACAGG
This 253-nucleotide ribosomal RNA is filed under the name uncultured bacterium. Its description in RNAcentral is "partial 16S ribosomal RNA". It matches the Rfam family "Bacterial small subunit ribosomal RNA", at positions 524 to 776 of the family's 1533-position model. The record is from RNAcentral.